GAUGAACGCUGGCGGCGUGCCUAAUACAUGCAAGUCGAGCGAACGGACGAGAAGCUUGCUUCUCUGAUGUUAGCGGCGGACGGGUGAGUAACACGUGGAUAACCUACCUAUAAGACUGGGAUAACUUCGGGAAACCGGAGCUAAUACCGGAUAAUAUUUUGAACCGCAUGGUUCAAAAGUGAAAGACGGUCUUGCUGUCACUUAUAGAUGGAUCCGCGCUGCAUUAGCUAGUUGGUAAGGUAACGGCUUACCAAGGCAACGAUGCAUAGCCGACCUGAGAGGGUGAACGGCCACACUGGAACUGAGACACGGCCCAAAACCCUAGGGGAGGCAGCAGUAGGGAAUUUUCCGCAAGGGGGAAAAGCUUGAGGAGACAACGCCGGGGGGGUGAUAAAGGUUUUCGGAUGGUAAAAAUCUUUUAUUGGGGAAAAAAAAAUGUGAAAGUAACUGGGCAAAUUUGGACGGUCCCUAAUCAGAAAGCCACGGCUAAAUACGG
This 496-nucleotide ribosomal RNA is filed under the name uncultured bacterium. RNAcentral's name for it is "partial 16S ribosomal RNA". It matches the Rfam family "Bacterial small subunit ribosomal RNA", at positions 28 to 506 of the family's 1533-position model. The record is from RNAcentral.